GACGAACGCUGGCGGCAUGCUUAACACAUGCAAGUCGAACGGAAAGGCCCUGCUUUUGUGGGGUGCUCGAGUGGCGAGCGGGUGAGUAACACGUGAGUAACCUGCCCUUGACUUUGGGAUAACUUCAGGAAACUGGGGCUAAUACCGGAUAGGAGCUCCUGCUGCAUGGUGGGGGUUGGAAAGUUUCGGCGGUUGGGGAUGGACUCGCGGCUUAUCAGCUUGUUGGUGGGGUAGUGGCUUACCAAGGCUUUGACGGGUAGCCGGCCUGAGAGGGUGACCGGCCACAUUGGGACUGAGAUACGGCCCAGACUCCUACGGGAGGCAGCAGUGGGGAAUAUUGCACAAUGGGCGGAAGCCUGAUGCAGCAACGCCGCGUGCGGGAUGACGGCCUUCGGGUUGUAAACCGCUUUCGCCUGUGACGAAGCGUGAGUGACGGUAAUGGGUAAAGAAGCACCGGCUAACUACGUG
RNAcentral lists this ribosomal RNA (468 nucleotides) under uncultured bacterium. RNAcentral describes it as "partial 16S ribosomal RNA". It matches the Rfam family "Bacterial small subunit ribosomal RNA", at positions 28 to 507 of the family's 1533-position model. The record is from RNAcentral.